GCUGGGAAGAAGUCUCUGGAAGACCAGGUGGAGAUGCUGCGGACAGUGAAGGAGGAAGCUGAGAAGCCAGAGAGAGAGGCCAAAGAGCAGCACCAGAAGCUGUGGGAAGAGCAGCUGGCUGCCGCCAAGGCCCAACAGGAGCAGGAGCUGGCGGCUGAUGCCUUCAAGGAGCUGGAUGAUGACAUGGACGGGACGUGAGUGUCCCCUAGUUGGAGCUGCCCACCCUUCCGUGGGCCUGGGUUUCCCUCCCCGCCACCCUCGCCUCUAGAAACCAGCCAGAUCCUCCUUGGGUUCCCCCGGCGUGGGGUCCAGGCUGAUCCCAAGCCCCGUGUGACCCCCCCUCUUACUCAUGGAUGGCCAGGUCCAGGAUGCCCUGGGCGAGGAGAUAGGGGGACCACCCUCUCCCCAGGAGCUGGGCACAGACCCUCAGCCUCAGGGAGUGUGUCUAGGCAUCUAGUGAUCGGAUGGCUUUUCCCAGCCCCACUACGCUCUGGGGAAAGCCAGACCUGGGUUCGAAUCCUGGCUGUGCCUCUGAGCUUGCUGGGUUACCUGGUGGAGGGUGGACUU
This 567-nucleotide small RNA is filed under the name Pan troglodytes (chimpanzee). Its description in RNAcentral is "retained intron". Lineage: Eukaryota; Metazoa; Chordata; Mammalia; Primates; Hominidae. The record is from RNAcentral.